Molecule: transfer RNA, 71 nt
Filed under: Candidatus Aenigmatarchaeota archaeon
Lineage: Archaea; Nanobdellati; Candidatus Aenigmatarchaeota
Description: tRNA-Trp
Rfam family: tRNA
About the family: Transfer RNA (tRNA) molecules are approximately 80 nucleotides in length. Their secondary structure includes four short double-helical elements and three loops (D, anti-codon, and T loops).
Source: RNAcentral
GGGGUCGUGAGGCAACGGCAACCUGGCGCGCUCCAGACGCGCUCAUCUGGGUUCGAAUCCCAGCGACCCCA